RNAcentral lists this unclassified non-coding RNA (237 nucleotides) under Hevea brasiliensis (rubber tree). Lineage: Eukaryota; Viridiplantae; Streptophyta; Magnoliopsida; Malpighiales; Euphorbiaceae. The record is from RNAcentral.
GUGAUUUGACAUGUUGAUAAUUUUUUUGUAAAUACUAGAAAAGGGAAAUUACAUCGGUGAGAAAUUGAUUAUGAAACAAAUAUUAAUUUCCAGCUACCUGCUCCAUUGAUAACUUAUGCAGAAGCCAAGUCCCAUUAAUUAGCUAGUGAAACGCCAUCUCAAGCUUAUGAUAAACUUAAAAUCUACAAUUACCAGGAAACUCAGUUUAAUUCCAGAAAGAAAAAAAAAAAAAAAAAA